RNAcentral lists this ribosomal RNA (251 nucleotides) under uncultured Fructobacillus sp. Its description in RNAcentral is "partial 16S ribosomal RNA". It matches the Rfam family "Bacterial small subunit ribosomal RNA", at positions 524 to 774 of the family's 1533-position model. The record is from RNAcentral. Lineage: Bacteria; Bacillati; Bacillota; Bacilli; Lactobacillales; Lactobacillaceae.
UACGUAGGGGGCAAGCGUUAUCCGGAUUUAUUGGGCGUAAAGCGAGCGCAGACGGUUCGAUAAGUCUGAAGUGAAAGCCCACAGCUCAACUGUGGAAUGGCUUUGGAAACUGUCGAACUUGAGUGCAGUAGAGGUAAGUGGAAUUCCAUGUGUAGCGGUGGAAUGCGUAGAUAUAUGGAAGAACACCAGUGGCGAAGGCGGCUUACUGGACUGCAACUGACGUUGAGGCUCGAAAGUGUGGGGAGCAAACA